Molecule: ribosomal RNA, 664 nt
Filed under: Pseudovibrio sp.
Lineage: Bacteria; Pseudomonadati; Pseudomonadota; Alphaproteobacteria; Hyphomicrobiales; Stappiaceae
Description: bacterial SSU rRNA
Rfam family: Bacterial small subunit ribosomal RNA
Source: RNAcentral
GAACGAACGCUGGCGGCAGGCCUAACACAUGCAAGUCGAACGGAUCCUUCGGGAUUAGUGGCAGACGGGUGAGUAACGCGUGGGAAGCUACCUUGUGGUAGGGAACAACAGUUGGAAACGACUGCUAAUACCCUAUGAGCCCUAUGGGGGAAAGAUUUAUCGCCAUGAGAUGUGCCCGCGUUAGAUUAGCUAGUUGGUAAGGUAAUGGCUUACCAAGGCGACGAUCUAUAGCUGGUCUGAGAGGAUGAUCAGCCACACUGGGACUGAGACACGGCCCAGACUCCUACGGGAGGCAGCAGUGGGGAAUAUUGGACAAUGGGGGCAACCCUGAUCCAGCCAUGCCGCGUGAGUGAUGACGGCCUUAGGGUUGUAAAGCUCUUUCAGCAGUGAAGAUAAUGACAUUAACUGCAGAAGAAGCCCCGGCUAACUUCGUGCCAGCAGCCGCGGUAAUACGAAGGGGGCUAGCGUUGUUCGGAAUCACUGGGCGUAAAGCGUACGUAGGCGGACUGAUCAGUCAGGGGUGAAAUCCCGGGGCUCAACCCCGGAACUGCCUUUGAUACUGUCAGUCUUGAGAUCGAGAGAGGUGAGUGGAACUCCGAGUGUAGAGGUGAAAUUCGUAGAUAUUCGGAAGAACACCAGUGGCGAAGGCGGCUCACUGGCUCGA